AGAGUUUGAUCAUGGCUCAGGAUGAACGCUAGCUACAGGCUUAACACAUGCAAGUCGAGGGGAAACGAUAUUGGAAGCUUGCUUCCGAUAGGCGUCGACCGGCGUACGGGUGAGUAACGCGUAUCCAACCUGCCCACCACUUGGGGAUAACCUUGCGAAAGUAAGACUAAUACCCAAUGACGUCUCUAGAAGACACCUGAAAGAGAUUAAAGAUUUAUCGGUGAUGGAUGGGGAUGCGUCUGAUUAGCUUGUUGGCGGGGUAACGGCCCACCAAGGCGACGAUCAGUAGGGGUUCUGAGAGGAAGGCCCCCCACAUUGGAACUGAGACAUGGUCCAAACUCCUACGGGAGGGAGCA
This 356-nucleotide ribosomal RNA is filed under the name uncultured bacterium. RNAcentral describes it as "bacterial SSU rRNA". It matches the Rfam family "Bacterial small subunit ribosomal RNA", at positions 8 to 353 of the family's 1533-position model. The record is from RNAcentral.